This is a long non-coding RNA of Prosopis cineraria, 1063 nucleotides long. RefSeq lists it as uncharacterized. Lineage: Eukaryota; Viridiplantae; Streptophyta; Magnoliopsida; Fabales; Fabaceae. The transcript has 3 exons. The record is from RefSeq and is a predicted model, not a curated record.
UCAUCUUCCAUAACUUUAAUAUAUGCAUAUUGACAUUUGGACUAACCAUUUUGUUCAUAAUAUAUCAUUUAAGGUUGUUCAAAGUGAAGAUGAGAGUGAGCAUGAAGAGGGAAAAAAUAAAGUCAUCAUUAGCAUGCAUGCCACACCCAAGAUAGGAGAACAUAAAAAGAAGGAUGAUUCAAGAAGAGCUUAAAAAGAAUGAAGACAUUCAUAUAAGCUUGGAUACAUCUUGGAAGCCUUGUGUAACAUUAGAAACUUUUAACUCUAAUUUGUUAACCUAAUUAAGGUAGUUAGUGAGUGAAUGAGGUAUGUGGCCAGAGGGGCUUAACUUAGCAUAAUUGAUGUGAUUUUAGCCCUAGAAGUGGGUCCAGAUCAAUGGCGGGCCACUGGGCAAGGAAAGAGAAUGAAAAAGUGAAAGUUGUGUUCUGUGCCACCCGCCGCGGUGCGUGGUUGGUCCGUUGCGGCACACGGACACAAUUUGAAUGUAAUGGGCUCCUUUGUGCCAUACGCUGCAGCAAAGGGCAACGUGUGCCAUGGCGCACAGCUAAAAAUAUGAUAAAUUUGAUUCAUGAGCUGCGUGAAAAUAGAAGAGGAAGAGAGGAGGAAAUGAAGAGCUUAGUUGUGGCUCUGCUAAGGCAUGACAUUUGGCUCCGCUAGGGCACAACAUUUGGCUCCAUUGAGGAUAGAUUGAAACUCCCUAACACUUAAGAGAAGUUCAUCUUGGCACCUUUCAAGCUUGUUGAAGCUUGAGGAAGUUGCUAUAAUGAGGGGUAAACCUUUAACUUCUCAAAGAUUUGAGAGACUAGCUCAUUGGAUCCAAGUCGGGGAAAACACACAGAGACUUAGGAUUUGUGGAGUAAAUCCUCUUUAUGUCUCUCUUUAGUUGUUUACAUGUGUAAUUGUCAAUGUAAUUGCCAACUAGGAUAAAUUGUCAUGAUUGGUUUACUACUUGUAUGAUUUUGUGCCCUAGGAUAGUGAGUUUUUGUUGUAAACUUGUGGAUAGGGCCAAAAUACCUGAGCAAGUAGGAACAUAUGUAUUUUUGAGAAAUAUGAAUAAAAUGGU